This 1350-nucleotide ribosomal RNA is filed under the name Pogostemon cablin (patchouli). RNAcentral describes it as "SSU rRNA". It matches the Rfam family "Eukaryotic small subunit ribosomal RNA", at positions 1 to 1538 of the family's 1831-position model. The record is from RNAcentral. Lineage: Eukaryota; Viridiplantae; Streptophyta; Magnoliopsida; Lamiales; Lamiaceae.
ACCUGGUUGUUCCUGCCAAUAGUCAUAUGCUUGUCUCAAAGAUUAAGUCACGCAUGUGUAAGAAUGAACUAAUUCAGACUGUGAAACUGUGAAUGGCUCAUUAAAUCAGUUAUAGUUUGUUUGAUGGUACCUACUCGUUGCUGUGAUGAUUCAUGAUAACUCGACAGAUUGCACAGCCCUCGUGCCGAUAAUGCAUCAUUCAAAUUUUUACCCUAUCAACUUUCGAUGGUAGGAUAGUGGCCUACCAUGGUGGUGAUGGGUGACGGAGAAUUAGGUUUCGAUUCCAAAGAGGGAGCCUGAGAAAUGGCUACCACAUCCAAGGAAAGCAGUAGGCGUGCAAAUUACCCAACCCUUACAUGGGGAGGUAGUGACAAUAAAUAACAAUACCGGGCUCUUCGAGUCUAGUAAUUAGAAUGAGUACAAUCUAUAUCCCUUAACAAGGAUCCAUUGGAGGGCUAGUCUGGUGCUAGCAGCCGUGGUAAUUGCAGCUCCAAUAGCGUAUAUUUAAGUUGCUGUUAAAAAGUUCGUAGAUGGACUUUCGGUUGGGCCAGCUGGUCCGCCUUCUGGUGUGCACCGAUCGUCUCAUCCCUUCUGCAUGCGAUACGCUCCUAGUCUUAACUGGCCGGUUCAUACCUCCGGUGCUGUUACUUUGAAGAAAUUAGAGUGCUCAAAGAAAGCCUAUGCUCUGGAUAUAUUAUCAUGGGAUAAUAUUAUAGGAUUUUGGUUCAAUUAUGUUGGCCUUCGGGAUCGGAGUAAUGAUUAAUAGGGACAGUUGUGGGCAUUUGUAUUUCAUAGUCAGAGGUGAAAUUCUUAGAUUUAUGAAAGAUGAAAAAUUAUGAAAGCAUUUGCCAAGGAUGUUUUCAUUAAUCAAGAAUGAAAGUUUGGGGCUUGAAGAUGAUCAGAUACCGUCCUAGUCUCAACCAUAAACGAUGCCGACAAGGGAUCGGCGGAUGUUUCUUAAAGGACUCCGCUGGCACCUUAUGAGAAAUCAAAGUCUUUGGGUUCCGGGGGGAGUAUGCUCGUAAGGCUAAAACUUAAAGUAAUUGACAGAAGGGCACCACCAGGAGUGAGAGCUCUUUCUUUUUUUGGGUAAAUGGUAAAUAAUAUAUAAAUAAACGUAACAAUUACAACAAUACAGUGAUACAAACACCACCUAGAAAGAAUGGUGCACAAAGAAAGGGUAAAUGAGGUUUAAACAGGACCUAAAAACUACCGAAGAAGGGAAAGGCGUGGCUCCCUAAAAAUCCAUACCUCGUUGGCUCAUUAAAGCCUAUUUAUGAAACCCCCCAAUGGGAAAAACCAUAAGUAGGAAAAAGAGCACCAACAACAGAGAAAGAGGCAUGAAUGAAA